CCCUUAGACGUUCUGGGCCGCACGCGCGCUACACUGACGAAGGCAACGAGCUUUCCUUUACCGAAAGGUACGGGUAAUCUUUUGAAACUUCGUCGUGCUGGGGAUAGAUCCUUGCAAUUUUUGAUCUUAAACGAGGAAUGCCUAGUAAGCGCAAGUCAUCAACUUGCGUUGAUUACGUCCCUGCCCUUUGUACACACCGCCCGUCGCUACUACCGAUUGAAUGGUUUAGUGAGGCCUUCGGAUCCGCGACUCGUUUGUGGAGAAGUUGGACAAACUCAGUCAUUUAGAGGAAGUAAAAGUCGUANCA
This 307-nucleotide ribosomal RNA is filed under the name uncultured eukaryote. RNAcentral's name for it is "partial 18S ribosomal RNA". It matches the Rfam family "Eukaryotic small subunit ribosomal RNA", at positions 1470 to 1796 of the family's 1831-position model. The record is from RNAcentral.